GAUGAACGCUGGCGGCGUGCUUAACACAUGCAAGUCGAACGGAGUGCCUUUGAAAGAGGAUUCGUCCAAUUGAUAAGGUUACUUAGUGGCGGACGGGUGAGUAACGCGUGAGGAACCUGCCUUGGAGUGGGGAGUAACACAGUGAAAUUAGUUGCUAAUAACCGCAUAAUAGCAGUUGGGUCCGGCCAUGGCUCCUGACUGCCAAAGAAUUUAUCGCUCUGAGAUGGCCUCGCGUCUGAUUAGCUAG
RNAcentral lists this ribosomal RNA (247 nucleotides) under uncultured bacterium. Its description in RNAcentral is "partial 16S ribosomal RNA". It matches the Rfam family "Bacterial small subunit ribosomal RNA", at positions 28 to 248 of the family's 1533-position model. The record is from RNAcentral.